AUGAGACGCCUGGUGCUGCUGCCGAUGAGAUAGGGAGAGAAGAGGCAGGGAGACCAAAGUUCUGGGGAUGUCGCCUUCUUCACUUUUUCCGCCGAAAAGCUGGGAAAUACAACCUGGCCAAGGCUGAGGAAGUCUGCCAGAAGGAGGCGGCAUUGUAUCGGAGACUUAAUGAUGGUCAGACUUCUCUACAACAGGGAUGUGUUGUUGUCGAGAUCCAUGAUCAUCAAGACCCUCCAGUCUCUGAAGUCCUCCCUGCUAUAGAGAAACUGCUGGAGCCGGACGUCCCCCAACAACUGGAUGUCAACAUUCCAGCUAGUUUGAAUGAAGAGGACAAAGUGGAAGAGCUGGCCAAGGAUCAGAUUUGUCUGCAGGAUAAUUGCACUGAAGACAAUGAAGUGGAGGAGCAAGACGACAAUCACGUAUUCUGGCAAUACGAAUUUGGGCCCCAGCUGGGUAAAGGAGGCGGUGGCUGUGUGUAUGCAGCGACUCGCUGCACGGAUGGCCUUAAGGUUUGAUUUUUUUUCUUUUUUUUACCUAUGAAACCUUCCAUACUUGUUUGGUAUUGGUGACUGGAAUGAUCUCUGUGCACCAGAUAAUUGACUGUUCUAGCUUUGUUUGAACAGGUGGCUGUGAAGAUUGCCGAAAAGACUCCAGAUAUGCCAUAUAUCAGAAUUGUGAAUAGCUUGUGCUCUCUAUAAUGUUGCUUCUCAGUCGUUGUUUUCGGUUUCUAGCGUCUUAUAUCAUGUGAAAUCUAAGAAACCACCUUCAACUAAACAUCAUGC
Long non-coding RNA from Puntigrus tetrazona (Sumatra barb), 782 nucleotides. RefSeq lists it as uncharacterized. The record is from RefSeq and is a predicted model, not a curated record. The transcript has 4 exons. Lineage: Eukaryota; Metazoa; Chordata; Actinopteri; Cypriniformes; Cyprinidae.